RNAcentral lists this long non-coding RNA (327 nucleotides) under Pan troglodytes (chimpanzee). Its description in RNAcentral is "long non-coding RNA NONPTRT003001". The record is from RNAcentral. Lineage: Eukaryota; Metazoa; Chordata; Mammalia; Primates; Hominidae.
GAAAAAGUGACACCUGGGUAGCCAUGACGGCACUUACAGCGUUCGCUUGUUAGUGUCACUAUUACAUAACAGAAAUGAGAACUCCUGGGAGAAAUAGGCAGAUUCCAGGAGUGGGGCAGGGCAAAUACAAUAUGAGUCUUAAAUAUCUUGCGGUGCCAGAAGGAGUGGAUGUUAUGACAGAGGAAUGUAGGAAGGAAGGACAUCAGGCUCUGAACAUCCAUCCAUGUAAAACAUUGAAUAAGACUAGCUGUUAAACAGGGCUUUUUCCCUAGAAAGGUGUCAUAAUUGUGACUCCAUCAAAUUCUUCUAACAGCAAGUACUCAUUUG